RNAcentral lists this ribosomal RNA (252 nucleotides) under uncultured bacterium. RNAcentral describes it as "partial 16S ribosomal RNA". It matches the Rfam family "Bacterial small subunit ribosomal RNA", at positions 524 to 776 of the family's 1533-position model. The record is from RNAcentral.
UACGUAGGGUGCGAGCGUUAAUCGGAAUUACUGGGCGUAAAGCGUGCGCAGGCGGUUCGUUGUGUCGGCGGUGAAAGCCCCGGGCUUAACCUGGGAAUGGCCGUCGAAACUGGCGAACUGGAGUGUGGCAGAGGGGGUGGAAUUCCGCGUGUAGCAGUGAAAUGCGCAGAUAUCAGGAGGAACACCGGUGGCGAAGGCGGGUCUCUGGGCCGAUACUGACGCUGAGGAGCGAAAGCGUGGGGAGCGAACAGG